GGUUGAAACGUUCAUCAAAAUAAAUAAACUACACAUGGACUGUCCAAUCUAACAUAUUAUGCUUCUAAACAGAAAGAUUCGUGUGUACGAAACAGUGGAAAACGUUGUAAAUUAAAAAUGCUCGAACCAGCUAACUCGUCAAGAGUGUGAUCGCUACGGAUUGCAUUCGACAGAAAAAGUCACCUGGGCUGGCCGUUAAAACGGGCCGGAUGGCACGCGCGGAACAGCGAAAAGAAAAUAAAGAAAAGAUAGUGCUCACUGGCCAGAGUUUCUUCCGGACAAUCCCCAAGAAAUUCGUGGCGGUCAAUUCGAGGACAUCCCGAGUGUAUCCGGUUCUAUUCUGGGUACUUCGCGCUGUUAUCGCUUACUUGUACUUAUCCAUCCAUGGCUCAGUCUCUGGCCACAGGUCUCCGAUUACCGUCAUCUCGUCGUCAAACGACAAAUAUCGAUGAACGAGGCCUUGGUAUUCAGAGCCUUUCAAUGGCAAGAGUUUCCUCAACUACGGAACCAAAGCACCCAGUGUUUAAGUAUCCGAAGUUGUCACUCGAUCAAAAUACCAGCGUUUACAAUAUCAA
Hylaeus anthracinus is the source of this 575-nucleotide long non-coding RNA. RefSeq lists it as uncharacterized. Lineage: Eukaryota; Metazoa; Arthropoda; Insecta; Hymenoptera; Colletidae. The record is from RefSeq and is a predicted model, not a curated record. The transcript is spliced from 3 exons.